This 118-nucleotide ribosomal RNA is filed under the name Scophthalmus maximus (turbot). The record is from RNAcentral. Lineage: Eukaryota; Metazoa; Chordata; Actinopteri; Pleuronectiformes; Scophthalmidae.
GCUUACGGCCACACAGCCUGGUUCACGCCCGAUCUCGUUUGAUCUCGAAAAUAAGAUAGGUUGGGCCUGUUUAGUACUUGGAUGGGAGACCGCCUGGGAAUACCAGGUGCUGUAAACU